UAAAGAACAAUAAUUUCAAUAUAAUCCAAUAAUAAAAGACAUACAAAUUAAACUAAAAUGAUUAUCAUUCAUAUAUAUCAAAAUAAUAACAUCGAUCAACAUAACGUUGUCCUGAUAUUGUCAAUCAUUCACAAUCAAACUAACAUCUUCAAAAUGAAAUAGACCAUGCAUCUUCAAAAUGAAACUAACAUCUUAAAUGUAUAUCCAAAUGUGCAUUCACCAUAUAUCAAACUAACAUGAAAUGCAUAUCACAAUUAUGUGCAUUCACCAUCAAACUAACAUCAUCAAAAUGUAUAUCCUAUUAAAAAAACAUAAACAUCUAGCUCUCUUCUUCUUCUUCUUCUUCAUGAUNNNNN
This 356-nucleotide long non-coding RNA is filed under the name Trifolium pratense (red clover). RNAcentral's name for it is "long non-coding RNA (TPRA_LNC006163)". Lineage: Eukaryota; Viridiplantae; Streptophyta; Magnoliopsida; Fabales; Fabaceae. The record is from RNAcentral.